AUUGAACGCUGGCGGCAUGCCUUACACAUGCAAGUCGAACGGCAGCACGGGUGCUUGCACCUGGUGGCGAGUGGCGAACGGGUGAGUAAUACAUCGGAACGUGUCCUGUAGUGGGGGAUAGCCCGGCGAAAGCCGGAUUAAUACCGCAUACGAUCUACGGAUGAAAGCGGGGGACCUUCGGGCCUCGCGCUAUAGGGUUGGCCGAUGGCUGAUUAGCUAGUUGGUGGGGUAAAGGCCUACCAAGGCGACGAUCAGUAGCUGGUCUGAGAGGACGACCAGCCACACUGGGACUGAGACACGCCCAGACUCCUACGGGAGGCAGCAGUGGGGAAUUUUGGACAAUGGGCGAAAGCCUGAUCCAGCAAUGCCGCGUGUGUGAAGAAGGCCUUCGGGUUGUAAAGCACUUUUGUCCGGAAAGAAAUCCUUGGCCCUAAUACGGUCGGGGGAUGACGGUACCGGAAGAAUAAGCACCGGCUAACUACGUG
Molecule: ribosomal RNA, 485 nt
Filed under: uncultured bacterium
Lineage: Bacteria
Description: partial 16S ribosomal RNA
Rfam family: Bacterial small subunit ribosomal RNA
Source: RNAcentral